This 1249-nucleotide long non-coding RNA is filed under the name Zonotrichia albicollis (white-throated sparrow). Its description in RNAcentral is "lncRNA (ENSZALG00000001476.1)". Lineage: Eukaryota; Metazoa; Chordata; Aves; Passeriformes; Passerellidae. The record is from RNAcentral.
UUUGGCUCUCCUCCAUGACCAACAACCACAACCCCAAAAUCCCAAGUCCAGGAAACCCCCACUGUCCCAAAUUGGAUUUUUCUCAGAUCUCCUCCAUGGCAUGAAUGAAAAUCAUGAACCCCAAAAACCCAACUCCAAGAAACCCCCAUUGUCCCAAAUUGGAUUUUUCUCAGAUCUCCUCCACUCCAUGAGGGAAAAAUCCAAGUCCAGCAAACCCCUGUUAUCUCCAAAUUGGAUUUUUUCAGCUCUAUUCCAUGGCAUGAAUGAAAAUUAUGAACCCCAAAAACCCAACUCCAGGAAAACUCCCACUGUCCUAAAUUGGAUUUUUCUCAGAUCUCCUCCACGGGAUGAGCAAAAAACCCAAGUCCAGGAAACCCCCAGUGUCCCAAGUUGGAUUAUUUUGGAUCUCUUCCAUGUCAUGAGCAAAAACCCCAACUCCACAAAACUCCCCUCCAUCCCAAGGUGGAUUUUUUUCAGAUCUGCUCCUGGCCAUGAGUGAAAAUCACAAACCCUAAAAACCCAGGAAAACUCUGCCAUCCCAAAAUGGAUUUUUCUCAGAUUUCCUCCAUGAGCAGAAAUCACAACCCCAAAAAUCCCAACUCCAGAAAACUCCCAUUGUCCUAAAUUGGAUUUUUCUCAGAUUUCCUCCACUCCAUGAGGNGACCCCCCAAUUCCGGCUCUUUUAGGGUGGGGACCCCCCAGUUUCAGUCCCAGUUCUUUUUAGGGUGGGACCCCCAAAUCCCAAUCCUGGCUCAUUUAGGGGUGGGGACCCCCCAAUCCCAUCACUUUUUAGGGUGGGACCCCCCAAUCCCAGACCCAUCUCUUUCUGGGGUGGGGACCCCCCAAUCCCAGCUCUUUUAGGGUGGGGACCCCCCAGUUUCAGUCCCAUCACUUUUUGGGGUGGGGACCCCCAAUUCCAGCCCUUUUUAGGGUGGGAUCCCCCAAUCCCAGCUCUUUUUGGGGUGGGACCCCCCAAUUCCAGCUCUUUUAGGGUGGGACCCCCCAGUUUCAGUCCCAGCUCUUUUUGGGGUGGGGACCCCCCAAACCCAGCCCUUUUUAGGGUGGGACCCCCCAAUCCCAGCUCUUUUUAGGGUGGGACCCCCCAAUCCCAAUCCUGGCUCUUUUUGGGGUGGGACCCCCCAAUCCCAGCCCCAUCUCUUUUUGGGGUGGGGACCCCCCAAUCCCAGCUCUUUUUGGGGUGGGGACCCCCCAAUCCCAGACCCAUCUCUUUCUGGGGUGGGGACCCCCC